UACGUAGGGUGCGAGCGUUAAUCGGAAUUACUGGGCGUAAAGCGUGCGCAGGCGGUUCGUUAAGUCAGAUGUGAAAGCCCCGGGCUUAACCUGGGAACUGCAUUUGUGACUGCAUCGCUGGAGUGCGGCAGAGGGGGAUGGAAUUCCGGCGUGUAGCAGUGAAAUGCGUAGAUAUGCGGAGGAACACCGAUGGCGAAGGCAAUCCCCUGGGCCUGCACUGACGCUCAUGCACGAAAGCGUGGGGAGCAAACAGG
RNAcentral lists this ribosomal RNA (254 nucleotides) under uncultured bacterium. RNAcentral describes it as "partial 16S ribosomal RNA". It matches the Rfam family "Bacterial small subunit ribosomal RNA", at positions 524 to 776 of the family's 1533-position model. The record is from RNAcentral.